Stegodyphus dumicola is the source of this 738-nucleotide long non-coding RNA. RefSeq lists it as uncharacterized. The record is from RefSeq and is a predicted model, not a curated record. Lineage: Eukaryota; Metazoa; Arthropoda; Arachnida; Araneae; Eresidae.
UCUGCCCAGCUCUUAUUGAUGUCCACUCCUACUGCGGCGGCUUCAAAUCGUUUAAUGUUGCUGGAACGGCUGUCCGUGUCAUCUGUUACAUCUUUUAAGUCGUCACCAAUGUCAUCGUCUUUGUCACCGCUCGGCACUUCAAGCUCAACCCUUCCCAUCUGUAGAUCGUAACGCAUGGCGUCAUCACAGCACAGCACGUAUUCCCUUCACCUCAUCUGAUACUGUAGUUCUAGUCAGUCUUCAACUGCAGGCCUUUCAUAAAUCGAAACACGUUAAACAGAAACGGAGUGUGAGAAAAAAACUAAACGAGACGAACCGUUUGCUGUAGCUGUAGUUCUCAUGGUUAUGAGACAAGCCAAAUCGCAGAGAAUGACCCUGGAAGUUCUAUUUUCAAUGCAUCAAUAAUUUUAAGAAUGAUGGAUGGGUGCUGCACCGGAUUUUGUGUAUUACUCUCAGAAGCACAGAAGAACCUGAUUGCACAGAAGAAGUGCACAGAAGUUGGACCUGAUUGUGGAGUGCCGCUUGGGAACUUUGCCUGGAUUUCUCGUUGCAGCUAAUUCCAGUCUGCGUUACAGGCUGUUAUUACAAACAGUUGCACUCUUAUGGCUGUAUUGCUACUGUUCCAGAAAGCUCAGUACUGGCUUUACUGUAGGAGGCACGAUGCUUUAAACCAUUUCUCCUUUAGUUGUUUUUGUUUUACAUUACGUUCUUCUAUUGUUAAUUUUAAUAAAUAUUAUC